RNAcentral lists this ribosomal RNA (407 nucleotides) under uncultured bacterium. Its description in RNAcentral is "partial 16S ribosomal RNA". It matches the Rfam family "Bacterial small subunit ribosomal RNA", at positions 30 to 526 of the family's 1533-position model. The record is from RNAcentral.
AUUGAACGCUGGCGGCAGGCCUACCACAUGCAAGUCGAGCGGAGCGGCGGACGUGUGAGUCAUGCCUAGGAAUCUGCCUGGUAUUGGGGGAUAACGUCCGUAACCGGGCGCUAAUACCGCAUAAUAUCAGAUGAGUCCAGAUGGGAUUAGCUAGUAGGUGGGGUAACGGCGCACCUAGGCGACGAUCCCUAGCUGGUCUGAGAGGAUGACCAGCCACACGGGAACUGAGACACGGUCCAGACUCCUACGGGAGGCAGCAGUGGGGAAUAUUGCACAAUGGGCGAAAGCCUGAUGCAGCCAUGCCGCGUGUGUGAAGAAGGCCUUCGGGUUGUAAAGCACGUUCAGCGGGGAGGCGUUACCCGCAGAAGAAGCACCGGCUAACUCCGUGCCAGCAGCCGCGGUAAUUC